UAAGAAACCAAAUGGCCGUCCAUGACAGAACGAGACUGAAAGUUUUUGGUUAUGAUAAGUGGUAUAUUUUGCCAUCAGUAUUUUGUUACUUAUGGGACAUUAUUAAUUGAUAUGUGAAAGUGAUGUUUUGUGUAAUUAACUAGUUUGGUGUUACAUACAAAUUAAUAAGGAUUUUAUUACGAAAUACACGAGUUAUAUACCUUUAUUUUGUAGAAACAACAAAUUGUUUUUUGAAAGUAGACUAUAUUUAUUUAUUUAUUAGUGGUAAAGGGUAUUUAGUCGUUUUUAUUAAUUGAAAUAUAUAUGAAUUUAUUAAAACUUAUGCACUGGCUGAAAAUAGUAUACAAUUAUAAACUUUCAUUUAGCCUAUAAGCUACAGUGUGAAAUUGAUGUUUAUAAGACUGCUUUCAAAUUCCUCAAUUCCCGUGAUGCCUAGGCUUAUGAAUUUGUAUAAGAAUUUAAAUAAAUUAAAUAUUAAUUGAAUAAAUAGUGGAUGAACCUGCCAUUCAAUAAUAAUGGCAGAGUUAGAACAAAAUUCUGCAUGCAGUGAAGAAACCAAUUCUCUUUGUGAUGAAGAAAGAGUUCGGAAAUUAUUUCAAGCUUGUGAUGGUGACGGUGAUGGUUACAUUGACAGUCAAGACUUACUGACAGUUUGUCGAGAACUUAAUCUUGAGGAUUCACUAGAGGAAUUGAUGAAAGAACUGGGAGCUGAUGAGAAUGGACGAAUAUCUUACAAAGAAUUUUUACGACGGCGAUUAGCUUUGCGGCCAGAAAUAGAAGCUCUUCGCAGCACUCCUCAUCUUCCAAGAGAAACAGUCACUCCAGACUAUCUUCCAACAAGCAGUGAUAAUAGUCUUGGUGGAGCGUCAGGAGGCAAGUGUGGGGAGAGUUGGGAAUUUGACAGUGGUGCUCGGGAUCUGAGCCCGGAGCCUAACACACUGCAGAGGUUAGUGGAAGCGGCAGGCUGUUCUCUCACUUCCACCAACACGGCCAGUCUACUGCAGCUGGCUAACAAGCUACACCUGGCGGCUCUGGCAUCCCUGCGAGGAGAGAUCUUGGAGCUGACAUCACGUCUGCAUGCGGUGACGCAGGAGCGUGAUGUGUUGGAGCGUGCUGUUGCACAGGCUGAGAACUCAGUGGCUCAGCAGUAUGAGGAGCGUCUCACCGAGCUACACUCUGUUAUUGCCGAGCUCAGCCGAAAGAUGGAGCGACAGCGUACUCUUGUUAUUGCCGAAGAGGAGGACGUACAAUCUGAAACAGAGCAAAGUAUAGAAACGUGUUCCCAAGCAGAUGAGACGUUGGCUGUAGAGGAAUCCACUCUUCCUGCAUUUGAUGAAAGCGAGUUGCAAGUCGAAGAAAUUACGGAUGCAGCAUCAAAAAAGGAGAAGAAGUCUUUUCUGGAGGAGGAACUGUUUGAACUGCGUGCUGAGAACAGUGCAUUACAGGAACAGCUCAGCAAGACAGAGGCAGAACUACAGCAAACACAGACACUACUAGCCAGCGUGCGUGAGGACAGAGACAAACUGAGGAACAAGUUAAGGGAGGGUCACCACAGUCUGCGUCCGAGCAGCUCUCCUCCUCCUCCCAGACAGGAAGUUCCAGUGCUCAAGGUGGCGGAGAGAGUGCGACUGCGUAAGAUGGACAGACAUGUCACUGGCUCUGAUCUCAUCUCUCUUGGGGUGACCAGGACUGAGGUUGCGGAGCAGCUGGUGUCAGAGCUGCAGGAAGAGUGUGAUCAGCAGGAACUGAGUUUACGGGACCGACGACAACUGGAGUUAGAGACAGAAAGGCUCUCUGCUCGACUGGAACAUUCCAGAUCACAGGUUAAUGUGCUGCAACUGACAUUGGAUGAGAGCAAGAGUCAUUGUGAAAGGUUGUGCCUGUUAGUAGGGAAGUAUGAGUCCAACGUUACAGCUCUGCGGUUGGCCCUGACAUCGUGCGACCGAGCAAUAGAAGCCUACGACCUGCUAGUGUCGCUGCUGGAUGCACAUACCAACAACGAGAAAUGUGCGGAAGCAGAUGAGCUGCGACAGCUGAUAGCUGAGCUGAAGGCAGAGCGAGCAUUAGUGCGCAACACUGUGGUGGAGCUGGAGAGUCUAGUGGAGCAGCCCCCACCCAGGCCCCCUGCCUCCACCUCACAGGCCCGCAAACUGGAUCUGGAGACUGCUGUGCUUAUGCAGGAGCUGAUGGCCAUGAGAGAGGAUAAGUGUGAGUUGAGAGCCAAGAUAUACCUGUUAGAAAGAGAGAGGGAAAACCAGGAGCUAAAGGUGGCAUCACUGCAGUCCCAACAGCAGGCUCAUUUAGCCACCAUACAACACUUACAGGCACAACUACAGGAUGCUGACACAGAGCAGGAGCUGGAUGCAGAUGGGAGGGAAAGUCGACUACGUGAGAGACUGAAGGAGGUUGCAAGCACGUUGGAACGUGUCAGUCGCAACGCCGAGCUGAGGCAACGACAAGCUUCCGAGCUGGCCACAGAGUUGAAGACUGCUAACAGUGCUCUGGUACAAAGUUUGGAGAGGUGUAAACGUAAGUCUCAAGCCAGGCUGCGGAGGCUGGAUACUCAAAUGUUGGCAAUGGUAGAGCGACAUGCAGCUCAGGUUCGCACACUAAAACAACGGAUAGCAGCUUUAGAGGAGUCCAGGGAACAGCAGCAGACGAGGCAGUCCCAGAAUUCCACCACUAGUGAGACCUCCUUGUAGACUAUUAUACCCAUCCAUAGUUACUCAUCUCAUUGGUCUCUUGGUGGAGGAUAAGAGAGCCUGAUUACUAGUCCUACUUCCUUUCUCUAGCCACUUCCAGUUUAAGUUCUUAACUAUUGUGCUGCAUAAAAGAUAAAAGAAUUCGGGAUAGGCAGAGUUCAUGAAUAAUAUCUACAUAUUGGUGUUGAGUGGCUCGUGAACAAGUAAAAGUUGGAAAGAAAAGGCAGUGACCUUCGGUGACUUACAUGUUCAUCUUUCGGCGCCUACCUAUCCCUUCCCCUCUCACUUUUCAAACACAUGACUCAUUAGUCGUAUUUACGUUAGUGUUAAUUCUAGCGUUGUUUGAUGAACUGUGUGCACUUAAAGCAAAAUUAUUGUUAAAGGUUUGAUCCGUGACUGUUGAGUUACUUUACCAAGUGACUGUGCCUUUUUUACUUAUGUUCUUAGUCCUUGACAUUAACUGUUAAACAUAAAUACGCAAAGUAAACAAAUUAUUAUUUCGUGUACUUUGUAUAAAAAACUUGAAGUGUUAAACAGACUGGACAAAAGAGAAAGUGCUAAUAAAUUGUCAGUUAAAUAUGGUGGUGGAAAAGCAACGAUUAGCGACUGGAAAAAUCAUUGUGUUAAAAUUGAGCAGUUUUGUUCUGCUUCAAGUAAGAAAAAUUCCUGAAAAAAACAACAAAAAACGACUGUGUCUUCAUAUGAAAAACCUGAUGAAGCCUUAUUCUUGUGGUUCACUCAACUGAGACAUUUCCCAUUUUUGGUCCUUGGUGGUAAAAAAAAGGGCGCUUCCCCUAAACAAGCUUAUGGAUGGUGAACCUUCAUUUUCAGCUAGCGUGGUUUUUUUGGAUUGUUAAAAGGAAAUUUACGUAAUUAGACAGGUCACGAUUGCUGGGUAGAAGCUGUCAGUUGCCAAUUAUCUAAAGUAAUUUGAAGACCUCAUUUCUUCUCAAAAUUGCUUGCCACAGCAAGUUUAUAAUGCGGAUGAAACUGGACUGAACUUUAAGGCUCUGCCUACUAAAAGUCUUGCUUCUUAAGAAGAGGAAUCUGCCUCAGAGUUUAAAAUGGACAAACGUCUGUCUUAGCUUGCAGCAACAAAUCUGCAACAAACAAACUUCCCCGCUGAUGAUAAUAGGCAAAUCAGCGAAACCAUGAGCGUUCAAAAACAUUAACAUUAACUUCUGUGUAUUGUAAGAAUAAAAAAAGCUUGGGUGGAAUGUGACUUGAUCAAUGAAUGGUUCGAUCACCAAUUUGUCCUUAAAGUGAUUGUGUUCAAUAAAGAAAAGAAAUUGGCUAUUCAUGCUCUGCUGUUUAUAUACAAUGCACCGUCCUACCCAGGAGAAAUGAAACUUAUUUGUGGAAACAUCAAAACAACUUUUCUGCCACCAAAUGUUACUUUAAUUCUUCAGCCUAUGGACUAGAGUGUGUUACAGGCCAUUAAACAAAAAUACAGAAAAAUGCUGCUUCUCAUCUUAUUUGAAGAGGAUGAAGAUGAAUUCACAAUCUUUCAAAACUUAAGAAAACUACAGUAAAAGAUAUGAUUUACUGGUUAACACGUUCAAUGCGGGUCCGGUAGAUCUACUGCACGGCUGCCUCGCGCCAGGAACGCAUGACGUAGAUCUACUGCACAGUGCCAUUGUUUAGUAACCCAGUCAGUGUGCUCUCAGCACUCGUCAUGUAUGGUUGUCCGUUUUGCCGCUCGUGGGGACAUACUUUUCCCGCGUUUUUGUGGUCGCCAUUCUCAGUUAGCGUUUUGUGGUUAGUUUUUAGACUACUUCAAAUUUUACCGUUUUUGUUGUGUGUUUAGUGUUAUUCUUGUAAUACAAUAGACAUGGAUUUGCCUCCUGGAACUAGUGGAAUCCAGAAUAGACGUCAGUUUGUGGCUAAUAGUGAUUCUGAUUAUGAAGACGACCCUGGUGUCCCUGGUUAUGCUCCGGACCUCGACGAUGAACAAUACGAGACUGAUGAGUCAGAGGUCGAAGACCCAGACUAUGACGUAAGACCAGCACAAUGGAGUCCUCAAACUAUAGGUAUGAAAGAUGUACCGUUUACAAAAGAGGAAAAGUUUUUAGUCCCUUUGCCUAAUGAGAUUACCCCAAUCAAUUUUUUCUUGUUGCUGAUGGAUGUGAUUUUUUUUAGAGGGUAUUGUGGCUACUACGAAUAGAUACGCGUUGGAGUUAUUCUGUGGACCUAAUACAACCCUAGGCUCACGAAUCCAUAAAUGGAAAGACAUUACCGUAGAGGAACUCAAAUGUUUUAUGGGCCUAUUGCUGCACAUGGGAAUAUUACAAUUACCCCGAAUUCAAGACUAUUGGAAAACUUGUAUGCUGUUUUCAACGUGCUUCCCCAAAUUCAUGGCCAGGGACAAAUUCAUGCUUAUUUUGCGAUGCAUUAAUUUUGAAAGGUACCCUAACCCAAAUAACAGAGCUUCUAAAGUACAGUUUCUAAUUGACACUUCAACAAUAAAAUGGACACAAUUUAUUAUCCUCAAAAAAAGUUGUGCAUUGACGAGGGAAUGGUUUUAUGGAGGGGAAGGUUGUACUUUAGGCAAUAUAUAUAAAAGGGAAACGCCAUAAGUACGGCAUCAAACUGUACAGUUUGUGUGACCCCCAUGGCCUAAUACUUCGUUUUUUUUUGUAUUGUGGAGUUUUAGAUGAUUACGGUGGUAAGGGACACGCAGCCAACAUUGUAUUGAAGCUGAUGCAAGGGAAACUCAAUUGUGGCCACAGUUUAUUUAUGGAUAACUAUUAUAAUAGUUUUACUCUUGCCUCAAGCCUGCUCCGUAGGAAUACAUAUUGCACUGGAACUCUUCGGCUGGACAGAAAAUACGUAUCUCCUGAAGUCAAAUCGGCAACCCUGAAAAAGGGUGAAACCAUCGCCCGCUUCGCUGAAAGCGUUGUUGUCACCAAAUGGAAAGACAAACGCAUUGUCUCUUACACAUCCACUGAGUUUGAAAAUGACAUGGUGAAUUCAAUUAAUCGAGGUGGUUUGGAGAGACUAAAAUUACUACCAAUUUUUCAAUAAAACUAUCUCUUUUUGAUCAAUUUACAUCUUUAAGUUCCAGAUACAACUUCAACCCACAUGUUUGUUAGCAUCAUACUUAGUCAUGUAAUUUUACACUUCGGUUGUGCUAUUUUUCUUAUCUAGAAAUUAACUCUUAUCUUAUUAAUUCAAAUGCUUAGUAGGUGAUUAAAUGCAUUUCAUCAACAGAUAAUUAGGGAUGCCUUUGACAGUUAGUACCAAACUAAUGGAUAAUACUUGGCCUCAUUUUAUAAUUUCUUCUUCUUAAGGCCAAACAUACAAUUUUUCUCAUUUGACAUGUUCAGUAAUAAAUAUUCACAAACUCUCUUUAAUUUUUGUGAAACAAGAAAUAGAAACCAUAAUGUCAUUUUUUAAGAGGCAUACAAAUAAAACUUGUUAGUGCAGUUUAUAAUUAUUAUAACUUGUUUAAUCUGUUUGAUAUUGUUCCAUAAAACCCCACAAUUUUAUGGAAAUCCUUAAAUUAUUUUUUAAUUUUUAAAUACAUAAUUUUUGCUUUUGUAAGAUAUGUUUAUAUAAGUAAACUAACUUACUUGUUAAACUUCUUACUAACUUGUAUUGUGAAGCAUUCUGAUCUCUUCCUCAGGUAGAUGACUAACACAUAACUACAAAUUAGGUUAAAAUAAACAAAUCAUACCAGAGCGUUGUGACACAUAUAACUCAGGAAUCACAACAAAAAUUAUAUGUAUCAAUACUGUGCACAUUAUCUCUAAAACAUACACGUAAUAAAAACAAUAAUUACUGAAAUUGUACUACAACUAAUAAAUUAAGAACCCAAAAGGGCCUUAUUAAAAUCAUGUUCUUGUUUGUUCCUCUAUGCAAUAACUCUUGUUAUUAAGGUCCAAGAGACUUGAAACUUGGUACAAAUGUUCCUCUUGUUACAAGUUAGAAUGCCAUUGAUAUUUGGGUCAGAAGGCAGCCUGUCAGUUUGCUUGUCUGUAUGAUAACUCUCGAUAGAAAAGCCGUAGAGACUUCAAUCUUGUUACAUAGGUUCCUCUUGCUCCAAGGAAGAACCAUUUUUAUUAUAUCUGUGUUGUUAUAUAUUCCUGACACUUUUAAUUUGUCAAGAUUUAACAUGCUACUAAAAGUAACUAACCAUUUUUGUUAUAAUUUACUUUUUAUAAUGUUAAUUCCUUAACAGAUUUUUACAAUUUUCAACUUUAUAAAAAGAAAUUAUCAGUUACUAUUUGUUAUACCUAUGUAAUUUAACAUGUUUAUUGUUGAGAAUAUGAAACAUUGUAUAUCUUAAUGCUUAAUGUAUGAUUAUUGAUUACUCACUAAAAGUGACAUCAAUGCUACUAAAUUGUCAUCAGGAGAUGUCGUAUCUUCAAUUUUGUUCACCGGUGGAUGCUGUCUUUGUCACUCAUCCAGGGUUUUGAAAUCCAGUAGCCAAUAUUAUAGCACAAUCAUUAUGAGGAAACUUUUCUCUUUUGCCACUGUCACUUUUUUAUAUUUUUGUACCAAAAAAAACUAUUUACAACCUCAUCCAUCUUCAUUUACUUGUAAGUAUAUAUUUUACUUGGAAAUGUUUUUGUGGAACAUGUUGAAGCACCAUAUUUUACAGAGUCCUGGUUCACCUAGGCAUAUGGCGUUCUCCAUUGUUCAGAAUGAAAAAAACACUCGACGAUUCACUAAAAGUGGACUUAAUAACAACGGUCUUAUGAAAAACAUAUCAUGGACCGGCACAACAAGUAACAAGCGACAUAACCUUCCUCUGUAAUCUAUGAGUGCCCCUUGAGAGGACUAUGUUAACUAAUGUUUUCUGCAAUAAAUGUUUAAUUGACUAUCUUUACUAUAAUAUGACCAAAAGUUCAUCUAUUUUUGGUGUAUCCAGGUUUUUUAGUUAUCAUAAAAUACAAAAACAAAUUUUGCCCUACAUACAAUAAUUAACAAACUCCAGCCACUGGGUACCAGUAGUAUUGCAGUAUAUAACAUGUAAAGGAGCAGUACAUUUGUACAGCAUUAAUAGCGUGAGUCCUGCUCAGUACAUUGCCUUCUCACAUAUUAGCAUCUCACUGUCAGUACCAGAUGUCAGUAUCACAUGGGAAAUGAUUUAAUUCUUCAUCAUUAAGAAACUUAAAGCCCUGACAAACCAAAAAUUUGUCUAGCUUUGGCCUACUCACUGAAACUGAAAACACAAGUAUAAAUAAUAUUGUGGGAAUAAUGUAUGCGUAAAUAGUUUUGUACAAAAAUAUGUGUGCUGUACAGACGUACAACUUGCAAUUUAAACAAAUAUAACUAAUUCAAUUCGAGGUUACUCAAAAUAAUGUGUGUGUGAUAAAGAAAUACGACUGACACACACAUGAGCUGUGGUCCCAGAAAUGAAAAUACUUGGAUCAUCAACACAAAGCCAGAUAACAUGCCCAAACCAUAUAACGCUACACUAAAGAAGUCAUACUUACAUCCAAACCUUAUCAAAGAACUUUGUAAAAGGAAAAUGGUGCAUGACAAAUGAACUUGCCAGCAUCUCUUCCUUAUCAUUUGCAGAAUCAAUAAUGGGUUAAUUAUCAAGAGUUUAAUAGUAGAUAGUUUCUAUAUGUGUCAGGUCUCGGUUUUAUAGCAGCAAGGUGGUUUUUCGGUACCAGAUCCAAUUAAUGGUGUAAUGUAAUAUCUUAAGAACUUUACUGAUGAAUAGGGAUUAUGUUUAAUUGCUUUUAUUUACAAAUAAUGUUGGUUUGAUCUUCUGUUUAUCAAUUUAUGAAUUACGUUGAGUUCUAAAUGAUUUGGCUGUUCAUUUAAUUUUUUUUUUUUUAUUUGUACAGUACUCUCAUACAUUCCUACAUAUUAAUUGUAGUACAUUGUGGUUGUUUUUUUUUUUCAGCACAAUAAACCCUCAUCAAACUAUGCUUUGCUCUAAUACAGUUUCAGUUUUUGGUACAUUGAUGUUUAUUUAAUUCAUGGCUAAACUAGUAAAAAUGGGGCUUUAAAACUUUAAGACUUAAAAGCUUUACACUUUGUUGUGAACACAAAAGUAAAUGUUUACAAAGUGAUUUUAUGGAAACGUAAUUUUUAGACUGUUAGAUAAGUAUGUAAAUUUUAGUAAAAUUGUAAAAACAGCAUUAUUUAAGAUUUUUUAUUUGUGUAUCAUAUUUAAUAUAUUCUACCCAUGUAAAUAAUGUUUAAUUGCUAUGAUUAUAUGAAGUUUGUUUAGGUUGUUAAUUAACUGUUACAUCACUUAACAAUGUAUUCAUUCACAAAAAUGUAUUUAUUUGUGUGCAGAGUAUUAUGAUUGAAUACUCUUCAAAGUAAUUUAUAAACACUAAUUUUUUAUUUUUAUUGUGAGUUAACCCUUGUUUUAUAUGUUUAUUAAGUGAUAUUAGUAUUAAAGACAAUAUUUUUUUAUUGAUUGGAGAUAGAAAUUAGAUACUUUUUUAUUUGAUAAUAACUAUAUUUGGGUGUAGCACAAUUUAACAUUAUCGAUGCUUUUGAUUUCAUUUGAUAAAGUAUGUAACUAAAAUAUCAAAACAACAGGGUUAAGUUAACAUGGUAUUCUUUUGUAAGUACAAUUAUUUUCUUCUGUCAGGCUAUAUAAUCAAUGUAGAACCAUAUAAUAAACAAUGUUGUAAAGAAUCUAAUCUAA
This 9321-nucleotide unclassified non-coding RNA is filed under the name Homalodisca vitripennis (glassy-winged sharpshooter). RNAcentral's name for it is "colorectal mutant cancer protein, transcript variant X1". The record is from RNAcentral. Lineage: Eukaryota; Metazoa; Arthropoda; Insecta; Hemiptera; Cicadellidae.